UACGUAGGGUGCGAGCGUUGUCCGGAAUUAUUGGGCGUAAAGAGCUUGUAGGCGGUCUGUCGCGUCUGCUGUGAAAAUCCGGGGCUCAACCCCGGACUUGCAGUGGGUACGGGCAGACUAGAGUGUGGUAGGGGAGACUGGAAUUCCUGGUGUAGCGGUGAAAUGCGCAGAUAUCAGGAGGAACACCGAUGGCGAAGGCAGGUCUCUGGGCUACUACUGACGCUGAGAAGCGAAAGCAUGGGGAGCAAACAGG
RNAcentral lists this ribosomal RNA (253 nucleotides) under uncultured bacterium. RNAcentral describes it as "partial 16S ribosomal RNA". It matches the Rfam family "Bacterial small subunit ribosomal RNA", at positions 524 to 776 of the family's 1533-position model. The record is from RNAcentral.